CCCUUAGAUGUUCUGGGCCGCACGCGCGCUACACUGAUGCAUUCAACGAGUUUCUUCCUGGUCCGAGAGGAAUGGGUAACCUUUUGAAAGUGCAUCGUGAUAGGGAUAGACUAUUGCAAUUAUUGGUCUUCAACGAGGAAUUCCUAGUAGACGUAGUUCAUCAGACUGCAUCGAUUACGUCCCUGCCCUUUGUACACACCGCCCGUCGCUCCUACCGAUUGAAUGGUCCGGUGAAGCGUUUGGACUAUGGUUUUCUGAUGGUCCGCCGUUGGAUUACCGUGGGAAGUUCGUUAAACCUUAUCAUUUAGAGGAAGGAGAAGUCGUAACA
This 328-nucleotide ribosomal RNA is filed under the name uncultured eukaryote. RNAcentral describes it as "partial 18S ribosomal RNA". It matches the Rfam family "Eukaryotic small subunit ribosomal RNA", at positions 1470 to 1796 of the family's 1831-position model. The record is from RNAcentral.